CAAUACCUUACCCGAUGCCUUGGGCCUUGAUCACGAACAUCCUCCGAGUACAAAAUACUUCGGGGCAUUCCUCGGCGAAUAAACACAAAUACUUCGGGGCAUUACCCGGGCAAAUGAUACACUUGAUCCAAAAAGAAAACAACCAAACCAAUUCAUUCAACACAUAUAUCAAGCAUUCAAUAUUCCAAGAGUCCUAAAUUUGCCUACCCGACCUACUUUGCCAAUUAAUUCUCAUCCUAAACGUUGUAUUAUAGAAGUUAUCCAAAAUCGAUAUCUAUUCUGAAAUGAACAAUCAACAAUCAUGAAUCAAAAUGCAACAAUAUUUACUUUAUCAAUUUUUCGAUCUUUUUUCCCAAAAUCCAACUUAACCCCAAAUCAAACUACAUGAUUAACAUACUUCGCAACCAGAUUGACAACUAAAUAAUAACGAGUGAAAUUGCUCCAAUCAGAAUCAACAAAAAUCACACCAUUCAAAAACAUUCACAAUAAUAGGAACAAAAGAUGAAGAAUUGACCUCAAUUGAUGACUUUAUUUUGACAACUUAUGAUGGAUCGGAGCUCAUAAACGGGACCUAAUCGAAACCUUAAAUCGAAAUGGAGCACGAUGGAAAGCAGUCGAAUCUGCCAGUUUUCCCUCAUUCAAACCAGUCACUGUUCUCGAUCUUUCCGUCGAUUUCAACUCUUUCGGCCAGCACUCUCUCUCGAUUCAUUUUUUUCCUCACACAGAUCUCUCUCUACCUCUCUCGAAUCUCUUCUCUCUCUUGGUUUCUCUCCACGUUACUCUUUCUUUCUCCCUGAUUUCUGUAUAUAUGUGUGUGUGUUUCAGAAAGAAGAAAAGAAGAGAGCCAAAUUGGCGUCUCUCUGAAGAUGAUGAUAAUCUUUCUCUCUCCCUAAUUUCAGCUCCUUUCCUGCCUCUAAUCUGUGCGUGUACUGAUAUAUCGAUGGGAGAUCUAAGAUGGGUUUGAGAUAUGGUGGUGCGUGUGUAUAUUUUCUAGUGUGUGCAGGUGUAUUGUUUUGUUGAAGAUGAGUGAAGAAGAUCCGUUCUUGUGGGUGUCUUUUUGUCCCUCUCUAAUGGGUAUCCAUUCUGUUGUUUUUGGAUGAUCUCUAUCUCAAUGGAGAGAAUGUUGUGUAUAUCUCCAUAUGGAAAAUAGAAUUCCUCCCUAGUAUUCCCUGUGGGCCCUCCCCCUUUUUCAUAUGAUGUGUGUCUAUAUAUUCCUAAUAAGAAUGGAAAUUGAUCAAUAGUCAUGUGGGCCCCCUCUCUUUUGUUUUAUUCCAAGGGAAAGAAGAAAAAUGUGACGUAUUUGUUGUAUGG
Molecule: long non-coding RNA, 1311 nt
Filed under: Capsicum annuum
Lineage: Eukaryota; Viridiplantae; Streptophyta; Magnoliopsida; Solanales; Solanaceae
Description: long non-coding RNA (CANN_LNC018255)
Source: RNAcentral